AAACCUUUCCACUUCAAUCAUUUGAUUAAUUCAUUUGAAGCUCUCAUUGUUUUUUAUUUUAGCGUUGAUUGCGUAUACGACGAGAUCGAGAAAUCAAUUCAUCAUGGCGAGCCGAACGGAUGAUCUAGUGAGCCCAGUCCAACCAGCUCACCAGCUCGACCUCGAUGCUUUGCACCGUUACGCCUCCGUUAACGUCCCUGGCUUCCCGCGCUCUCCUUCUACAUUCACUAUUUCUCAGGUAUUUGUUUAUUUUUAAUUUAUUUAUUUAUCUGUGUUUUUGAAUUUUAAUUAUUUAUUUAUUUUGCUUUUAGUUUGGACAUGGACAAUCGAACCCGACGUUUCUUAUGGAAGUAGGUUCCGGAGCGGCAGUGAAACGGUACGUUUUGAGGAAGAAGCCUGCCGGUAAAUUGCUCGAGUCUGCUCACGCUGUCGAUCGAGAGUUUCAGGUGGCAUUUCUGUAAUGUUUUACAUGCAUACAUACAUGCGCAGACUUGAAUAUAUCAUUAAAUGUCACAUUUAUCGAUUAUUUAUACAUAUAACAAUUAUAUAUAACAAAAUUCAAGUAGAAUUUUGAAUCUUUUGAUGUGACAGGUUCUUCGGGCGUUAGGUGAUCAUACUGUAGUUCCAGUUCCUAAAGUGUUCUGUUUGUGUACUGAUCCUAAUGUUAUUGGAACUGCAUUUUACAUCAUGGAAUUUUUGGAAGGACGGAUUUUUAUUGACUCAAAGUUGCCUGUAAUGCACUCUUUCUCUUUAGUCUCUUACUUGAUGAGUUGAUAAUCAAACUGAAUUAGUGUAAGAAAUUGUCUUUGGCUUGAAAUUUUGGAUUUUGGUGUUGAUAUGUCUGAUUAGGGUGUGGCACCGGCGAGGAGAAGAGCUAUAUAUCGAGCAACUGCAAAAACAUUAGCUUCUAUUCAUUCGGCUAAUGUGGAUAUGAUUGGACUGGGUAAAUAUGGGAGGCGAGACAACUACUGUAGACGGCAGGUUCUUGAAUUCUUUUUGAAACUUUUAGCUAAUUUAGUGCUUUCUAAUUUAUUUGCUUUAUAGCAAAGAACUUGAAUCUACAGCUUAGAAUAUGAAGUUGCAGUGUAGAAGCUGUAAAUUUAGAAAAAGGGAGAUAACUUAUAAUAUCUUGCAACUAAGUGGCACUUUUGAUUUUUGCUUUUUGUUUAGAUAGAAAGGUGGGCUAAACAAUAUACUGCUUCAACUGCUGAGGGUAAGCCUGCGAGUAAUCCCAAAAUGUUUCGGCUGACUGAUUGGUUACGGCAGAAUAUUCCCCCUGAAGAUUCAUCUGGAGUAGCAGCAGGCAUAGUUCAUGGGGAUUUUCGAAUUGAUAAUCUUGUAUUUCAUCCUAUUGAGGUCUGGAACUCCUAAAUUCCUUUAUUAACUUAUAUUCAAAGAUUUUUCUCUAACAUAUCUAUCUGUGUGGUUUAAAUAUAUGUCAUUAAUUUAAUUAUGAUCACUUAUUAUUGUAAAACAUUAGCUCUAUGAGUUGCAACUCUUGCUUUUUCUUGUAAAAUGAAAUAUAGAAUGUGUGGUUGUUUAUACUUGUGUUGAAUGAAAGCUCAAUUUUAACAUAUAUUUCUGAAUAGCUUAUAUAGUCUGAGUUGCACUUUUGAUAAUAACAUCUUAAUGCAGGAUCGCGUGAUUGGUAUUCUCGACUGGGAAUUAUCUACUCUUGGAAACCAGAUGUCUGAUGUCGCAUACUGCUGUCUGGUACUAAGUCAAUUCUCAACUUUAGUUUCUGUCGUGGAAAGAGCUAUACCCUCUUGCUUUGUUCCUUAUGUAGCACAGGCCAUUCUGUUGACACAUAAUAUUCCUUUUAAUGUAUGAGGGGUUUGUUCGGGGUCACCUUUAUGCUAAUUACUUAUUCCCUUUCUUGGCAGCCUUAUACUGUGGUUAUUGGGCAGAACAAACAUCUGGAUGCAGGUUUUGAAGUUACUGGAAUUCCAGAAGGGAUUCCCUCACAGGCCGAAUUUCUGGAUGACUACUGUUCUGCAUCUGUAAGACGCAUGUCUAACACUGAUUAAACUGUGGUACAUGUGCACUGUUCCACACACUCUCUGUCCCCUUUUUGUCCUCAUAUGAUGAAAUUCUGGUGAUAUUUUGAAAAUUAUUUAUUUUUUAUUAUUUUGAUUUCCUCCUUGGUUUUGUUUUAAUAUUUUCAAAAGGCUAUAAGUAUGGAUCAUGAUAAUUCAGUUUUCUGGGACUCAUGAUUUCACAAUGUUUUGUCAAGAAAAUAUGCACCACUUGCUCAUCUUAUGGAAAGUGAUGUCUAUCAAAUAUAUUGCACUACUAAAGCAUGUAAAGGAGGGGAUACUGGCUGAUAAUAAUGAAUUAAUCUAUCUUAAAUAUAGUAAGGAUGAUUGGUAAGGUUUGAUUUUUGACAUGCUCUCAAGGUUUUGCUAAUUUUCAGAUGAUAUUUACUCCCUUGUAAAUGUGAUGGUUAUUCUAGAAUUCAAAUCGGUGUUAUCCUCCUACCUUAUCGAGGACUAACUUAUACUAUGAAUGUUGAAAUGUAGGGAAAACCAUGGCCCGCCAAGGUGUGGAAAUUCUAUGUUGCAUUUGCUUUAUUCCGUGGGGCAUCAAUUUACACAGGCGUAUAUAACAGAUGGCUGCUGGUAUUCAGUGAUGAGAAAGAGAUUGAUGCUUGAGAAUUAAGUGCUACAAAAAGCUUUUGUGUUGAAAUAUCAGGCCACUUAUAUGAUAUUUCUAUUUACUGUGACCUUGCAGGGUAAUGCUUCAGGAGGUGAACGUGCCCGAUAUUUAGGAAAUCAUGCCAAUGAGCUUAUAAAUUUUGCUAUGGAUUUUAUUGCACGGAAAUCUGUGCUUCCAGAGUAUCCUCCAUCUGGUAAUUUAAUCAUUCAAAAGUAUAUUUGGACCUGAGGAUACCAAUACUUUUACACAACAUACUUUGCUUCGUAUACAAACUUUGUAUGGAAUGGAAAUAAUGGAUAUGCACUACAGUGUUUGUUUCUGUUUUUAACCUCAUAAUUUACUAUGUUUUCACAGUUCUAUAAAACAUGAUGUAGGACAUUACUAGAAGAUUUUAGGAUUUUAAUUAUUUUAGAACAUUUUAAUUUUUGCCAUUUUAAUUAGCGUCUUACUAGGUAUGUACUAGGUAUGUGUCUAGCGUUUUAUUUCUAGUUUAAUUUUGAUGUAGUUUCCCUAUUUAAGUUAACUUGGAGAAUUAUGUUUACCCUAUUGUAAAUAGAGAGAUCUUGUCGUUGUUUUUCCUAAACUAUUUUGAUUGGAAAAACCCCUCUUUUAUAAUUUGGAUUAUCUAUCAAAAUCUUUUUUAUAGAGUCGUUUGAAUUAGAGCGUUAUCUAAUCUCAUUGUAAAACAUUAAUAUCAAAAUCUUGUUACACUGUCGACUCGUUAAGAUUAUAACGAAUCUAAUAUCGCUUUGACUAGAGCAAUAAACUAAUUGCAUUGGCUAGGCCAUUAUUGGAACAAUAUCUAGUGUUUAUCUACCCUAUCAAUCCGCUUCUGCUAUCCCGCAUCAUAUUUUGUUGGCAUUCAUAUAGAGGGAGAGUUAUAAAGCCUAGAUUAUCUAAAGAACAAUGAUUAUUUGCUGUGCUGCACAGAGGUAUUAUAACUUUCCUUUAUCAUGGCUGUAGUAUAUUCAAAGAUCAUCAUUCCUUGCCUGCUAUUUGAUUUAUUGUAUGCAAAACAAUUAGCCUAAAGUAAUUUUAUUCAACUUAUCCAAUUUUAGUUGCACAAGCAGAUGCAAAACAAUUUGGAAACGGGAACAAAAUUCAAAACAUUCUAGACGAAAGAGGAAGGUUUGUUCCCAGCCAAAGGGUUCUGGAACUGAGAAACAAAUUGAUUAAGUUCAUGGAAGAUUACAUAUACCCCAAUGAAAAAGAAUUUGAAAAACUUGCUCAGUCUGAUGCCCGCUGGACGAUUCACCCAGAGGAGGAGAGGUUAAAGGAGCUGGCAAGGAAAGAGGGGUUAUGGAACUUAUGGAUACCAGUAUGUUUCCAUAUCUGCUCCUGGUCAUAUUUCUUUGUUUCUGAUUUAUGUAUUUUCCUUUACCCUUGCUACUCUUCUUAGCUAAAAAGAGGGUGGUUGGUGCUAAUUAAUUUGUUUUCUGUGAAUAUUCGUUUUAAUUGCAGUUUGACAGUGCUGCCAGGGCGAGAAAGUUAAUCUUUGGUGAGGGUCCAAAUCCUAUUUCUGAUGGUGGACGUGAUCUCUUAUUCGGGGCAGGCCUCUCAAACCUUGAAUAUGGGUACCUAUGUGAGAUCAUGGGUCGUUCGUUUUGGGCUCCACAGAUCUUUAAUUGUAGUGCACCUGACACAGGAAAUAUGGAGGUAAAUAUUAUUUCCAGGUUUGUUAGAAUCUCAGGAGCAAUCAUUUUCUGUUGCCACCAUGUUGCCCUUUCUCUUUCAUUUUUUAAAGUGCCAAUUCUAUUUGCCUAAGAAGCAUUAUUCUUGGUAAUGACGGUUGUCACUUUCGGAGUCUUAUUAUUAUUUUGAGAAAUACUUUUAUGAGCUCUUGUAAUCUGCACAAUGCCAGGAAGGAUGACAUGGUUUAUUUUUCUGCAUAUAUCAUCUUCAAGUUUGUUGGGUCUUAUUAUUAUGCUUAAGCAUUUGAUUCUAGGUACUAUUGCGAUAUGGAAAUAAAGAACAACUAGAAGAAUGGCUUAUUCCAUUGCUCGAGGGGAAGAUUCGGUCUGCAUUUGCAAUGACAGAACCGCAAGUUGCCUCUUCUGAUGCAACCAAUAUUGAGUGCUCUAUUAAACGGUAGAUUUCUCAUCAUGGUUCGUAAAUGGAAUGGACCUUUUUAUCUACUAAAUAGGGUGAAAGUUAUUUUUCGUUUUAGUGACAAAAAAUCUGAUGAAAAUCAGUAGGCAUUAUAUUUCUUUGUUAUCAUGCUUCAUUGUAUAUAAUUAUAUAAUUUAGUUAGAGUUUCUUCUCAGAAUUUUAUGACUGUUAAUGGAUUUCUUGUACAGACAAGGGGAUUCCUAUAUCAUCAAUGGGAACAAGUGGUGGACUAGUGGAGCCAUGGAUCCAAGAUGCAGAGUUCUUAUAGUCAUGGUUAGUUCUUCUAAAAUGGUGUGGCACGAAUAGUUUAUUUGUUGUUCCUGUAGCUGAAGUGGGUGAUCUGAAUCAAUCUGCAGGGAAAAACAGAUUUCUCUGCCGCUAAGCAUAAGCAGCAAUCUAUGAUCUUAGUUGAUAUCAAGACUCCUGGUGUACACAUAAAGAGACCACUCUUGGUGUUUGGCUUUGAUGAUGCACCUCAUGGGCAUGCAGAAAUUUCAUUUGAGAAUGUGUGUGUACCCGCAAAGAAUAUUCUGCUAGGAGAAGGACGCGGAUUUGAGAUUGCCCAGGUACAGUUGUUCUAUGCAUUUCACUAUCACAGGGAUGUCUGUCCUGAUUAAAACUUUUAUUAUGAGUGUAUAUACAUGUCCUGAACACAGUAGCAUGAAGAUGAAAAGAACAUGGUAGAAUUUAGUUUUUUGGCUUCUAUAGAUUGAUAACAUCUGUGCAGUGCAGUUAUUAGACCGGGUCUGUGAGUGGAUUUAUGCUAGGGACUGCAUUGUUAUUUGUGCAGGCAUACAAUUUGAAUAUUUCAUCUCCUUUUGCUUCUCUUUACUUACUUACAGGGUAGACUAGGCCCAGGAAGGCUGCACCAUUGCAUGAGACUGAUAGGUGCAGCUGAGCGUGGCAUGCAGCUGAUGGCUGAGAGGGCUCUUAGUAGAAAAGCGUUUGGAAAGUUUAUUGCUCAGCACGGUUCUUUUCUUUCAGAGAUGGCCAAGGUGAUCUAAGUUAGCUCCAGAUUUGGGAAAAUUUAUCAAAAUUCUACUGUUCUAGCUCUGAGGGGAAAUUAAUUAUGUGAUCUGAAAGUGAAUUUGGUAACCAAACUGAUCUUUUUUACCGGUGGUGUCAUGCAGUGCCGAAUAGAGCUGGAGAGGACCAGAUUGUUAGUUCUCGAGGCAGCUGACCAGCUGGAUCGCCUUGGAAACAAAAAAGCUCGUGGAACCAUUGCAAUGGCAAAGGUAACCGAUGUGCCUUCUAAUUUGAUUAUCGUUUAAUCAGAUCCUGGUUUAUUGGUUUAUUUAUAUCAAUCACCCGUAUUGUGUGAAAUUUCUUCGAUGCAUGGGCCAGGUAGCAGCUCCAAACAUGGCACUGAAAGUGCUGGACAUGGCAAUGCAAGUGCACGGUGCAGCUGGCUUUUCAACUGACACUGUUCUGUCACAUCUCUGGGCCACAGCAAGAACUUUGAGAGUUGCAGAUGGACCUGAUGAUGUCCACUUGGGGACCAUUGCCAAGUUAGAGUUACAGAGAGCUAAGCUCUGAAAAUCUCACACAGGAUAUAUCAACAAUCUGGAUUAUUUUUCUUUUUUUGUGUUUGUGUGUUUGGUGUUGGGGGGGGGGGGGGGGGGGGGGGGGUUUGGGGGUUAUAGCUUCUGGAAAUACUGGAAAUAUGUGUCUAAGCUUGAGUGAAGAGAGACUUGUCGUUACCUUGAGAUGUUUUACAUUCUCAAGUUCGGUGAUCUGGUAAUCUUAUCUCAAUCACUCUAUGCAAUUUCAUAUCUCCAGUAAUCUAAGCAAAUCAUGGACUUUCUUGUGCUUUCAGUUCACCAUAUGUGCUAGAACAAUUUUCUUAACUGCUGACAAAAGUAUAUCCGCAAUGAAUUUAAAGCUUCUAAUUGUGUUAGACACAAAGUUCAGUUCAUUAAAUUUAAUAAUCUACUUGAUGGUUUAAGACUGAUAUAUUAUAAACUAUCCUAUGUGAUUUUGAUUCAGGAAAAGUCCAUCCGGCCAGCUGUUGAUGAGCAGCACUGAGCUUCAUCUGCUAAAGCAGCUUUCUACUUUGUUACUCUUUAUGUGCUUAUGUAUGAAGUUGCUGCUGUUGUUUUUAACUCUUUUUCAUUAUGUAUUAAAUAAUGUGGAAACUCCCUGUUGACGAUUAUCAAGCCAUAAGCAACAACAAUGAACGACAACAGCUUAGACAGGAGUUGCUAUUCUAACAUUCAGCGUGAAUUUUUAUAAUGGAAAAACUAUAGAAUGACAAACUCUUGCAUUUAUUAGGGAUGUUCAGAAUCUAAUCUGAUCCGUUCAAUCCGUCUUAUCCAUAGAAAUUCAAUCUAAAAAAUUCUAUCUGUGGAUUUGUGGAUUGAAUUUGAUCGAAAAUUUGAUAAUCCGCAAUCGGUAGAUUGGAUAUGUAUCUACUUCUGUAAAUCUGUAAAAAUCUGCGAAUCUGUAAAAAAAUAAAAAGUAUUUAUUUAAUUAAAAAAUAAGUUAAAAUAUGGUAUUAGUACUUACUAGUAAAUAAACAAAUUAAAAUAUAGUUACAUUAACAUUAUAUUAUAUCUUAUCCGAUAAUAAUAUAAAAUAUAAAAUAAUUAAAUAAAAAAAUAUAAUUUUCUAAAUAGUUAAUUUUCAUGUACUGAUUUAAACGAAUGAGAUUUUUUUUUUUGUUUUGGUGUGUUAUGUUAUGAAACUUUAAAUGUAUUUUCUAGUUUUAUUUAAACAAUUAAUUUAUUUAAAUCUUAUUUAAUUUUUAAUUUAAUCGGUAAUAAAAUUAUUUUUAUAUUAAGUUUUUUUUUUAUUUAGUUAGUUCGUAGAUUGGACAGGAUUAAAAUUUUUUAAUCCGAAAAAUGGUGGAUUGGAUAUGGAUUGGAUUAAAUCCUCAUCUAAUCCGCAGAUGUAUGGAUUGGAUUUGGAUAGUGGAUUGGACACUAUUAAAAAAUUUUACUCCGCAAACCAAUCCGUAAAAUGGUGGAUUGGAUAUGGAUUGUGUUAAAUCCUCAUUCGAUCCGCAUAUGUAUGGAUUGAAUUUGAAUUAAAUUUCAUCAAUCUGUGAAUUGAAUUGAAUUGAAAAUUUAUAAUUCGCAAAAUUAUGGAUCAGAUAUGGAUUGAGGUUCAAUCCAUAUCCGAUCCGCGAACACCCUUAAUAUUUAUAAAUAAAUUUGUUUAGGUUUGAUGUGGUAAUUAAUAAUUUUUUGAAUAAAAAUAAAAAAAUAAAAAGAAAUCAUUUGAUCCUAUCAUAAUUUUAAUUCAAUAUUAUUUCCAUAAAACUGUUAACUGGAUUAUUUUGAUUCAUAAACUAUGUUUCUAUAAUACCGACAGCUUCUCGCCUAAAAAGUAUCUCAAACCUCGAAAGUUUCUUAAAACAGAAAAUUUUAUCCAAAACAAACAUCACGUCACGCGACUCAUAACGGCGCGUCACACCACCCGCAACAUCCAUUUCCUCACUCGAGCGACGCAUUCAACACCAAUAAACUACUACAACAAUGUUAUAAUAAAAUAUAUACAUAUAUAUUAUAUUAUAUCUCGAGAUAAUGAUGAGAACAAAACCUUUCCACUCCAAUCACUUGAUUAAUUCAUUUGAAGCUCUCAUUGUUUGUUAUUUAGCGUUGAUUGCGUAUACGGCGAGAUCGAGAAAUCAAUUCAUCAUGGCGAGCCGAACAGGUGAUCUAGUGAGCCCAGUCCAACCAGCUCACCAGCUCGACCUCGAUGCUUUGCUCCGUUACGCCUCCGUUAACGUCCCUGACUUCCCGCGCUCUCCUUCUAAAUUCACUAUUUCUCAG
This 8537-nucleotide long non-coding RNA is filed under the name Citrus maxima (pomelo). RNAcentral describes it as "long non-coding RNA (CMAX_LNC003586)". Lineage: Eukaryota; Viridiplantae; Streptophyta; Magnoliopsida; Sapindales; Rutaceae. The record is from RNAcentral.